RNAcentral lists this transfer RNA (76 nucleotides) under Holdemania filiformis. Its description in RNAcentral is "tRNA-Lys". It matches the Rfam family "tRNA". Rfam says of the family: Transfer RNA (tRNA) molecules are approximately 80 nucleotides in length. Their secondary structure includes four short double-helical elements and three loops (D, anti-codon, and T loops). Lineage: Bacteria; Bacillati; Bacillota; Erysipelotrichia; Erysipelotrichales; Erysipelotrichaceae. The record is from RNAcentral. RNAcentral also lists the same sequence under 3 other names.
GUCUUCUUAGCUCAGUUGGUAGAGCAACUGACUCUUAAUCAGUGGGUCUAGGGUUCGAGUCCCUAAGAGGACACCA